Salmo salar (Atlantic salmon) is the source of this 55-nucleotide non-coding RNA. NCBI's taxonomy places the organism in Eukaryota, Metazoa, Chordata, Actinopteri, Salmoniformes, Salmonidae. The record is from Rfam.
UGAAUGCACUAACUGUAAGUCGCUCUGGAUAAGAGCAUCUGCUAAAUGACAAAUA